CAAUUACUACCUCCUUCCAAAAAUACUUGUCAGCAAAAUGGAUGUAUCUAGAUGUAUUUUAGUUAUAAAUACGUCCUUUUUAAUCCAAUUUUCCGACAAGUAUUUUCGCACGGAGGGAGUAUGAU
Triticum aestivum (bread wheat) is the source of this 125-nucleotide non-coding RNA. NCBI's taxonomy places the organism in Eukaryota, Viridiplantae, Streptophyta, Magnoliopsida, Poales, Poaceae. The record is from Rfam.